UACGUAGGGUGCGAGCGUUAAUCGGAAUUACUGGGCGUAAAGGGUGCGCAGGCGGUUAUAUAAGACAGAUGUGAAAUCCCCGGGCUCAACCUGGGAACUGCGUUUGUGACUGUAUGACUAGAGUACGGUAGAGGGGGAUGGAAUUCCGCGUGUAGCAGUGAAAUGCGUAGAUAUGCGGAGGAACACCGAUGGCGAAGGCAAUCCCCCUGGACCUGUACUGACGCUCAUGCACGAAAGCGUGGGGAGCAAACAGG
This 254-nucleotide ribosomal RNA is filed under the name uncultured bacterium. RNAcentral's name for it is "partial 16S ribosomal RNA". It matches the Rfam family "Bacterial small subunit ribosomal RNA", at positions 524 to 776 of the family's 1533-position model. The record is from RNAcentral.